This is a long non-coding RNA of Rhinopithecus roxellana (golden snub-nosed monkey), 668 nucleotides long. RefSeq lists it as uncharacterized. The transcript has 3 exons. Lineage: Eukaryota; Metazoa; Chordata; Mammalia; Primates; Cercopithecidae. The record is from RefSeq and is a predicted model, not a curated record.
GGUUUGUUGUUUGUUCAUUUAUUUAUUUAUUUAUUUUGGCCUUCAUGGUAAUUGAGCUUCCAGUGGGGAAGAAGAAGAGAGAAGACUGAAGAGGUGGACCAGUGGCACAUUUCAUCAUGAAGAUUUAUCUGGAGGUUAGGGAGUAACAUUUAUGAUCUUCCUGAAGAACAGAGAAGGUUUAGGACUACUACUUAAAAGAGAAGAUGUGAUGCAACAGAGAAAGUAGAACUAGAUGCAAAAGACUGACUCAGGCUAUGAAUCAGUUACCUAAGUUCCAGGAAAGGGAUAUGUCUUCUAAGAAAAAGGAUCACACUGACCUUCACUUUCAGCAAGUUGCCUCUAAGCAUGAAGUGACCCUAAGAUAUAGGAAGAUAAGAAGGUAAUGGGUCAGGCUGAGACCAAGCAUCCAAAUGAGAAGUGAAGCCGGAUGGGCUUCUGGGUGGGGUGGGGACUUGGACAACUUUUCUAUCUAGCUAAAGGAUUGUAAAUGCACCAAUCAGCACUCUGUGUCUAGCUAAAUGUUUGUAAAUGCACCAAUCAUCACUCUGUCAAAAUGUGCCAAUCAGCACUCUGUAAAACGGACCAAUCAGCACUCUAUAAAAUGGACGAAUCAGCAAGAUGUGGGUGGGGCUAAAUAAGGGAAUAAAAGCAGGCCACCCUAGGCAGCA